UGCCCAAGAGAUCGGGAUAACACCUGGAAACAGAUGCUAAUACCGGAUAAUAACAUAUGAUGCCUAUCAACUGUUUAAAAGAUGGUUCUGCUAUCACUCUUGGAUGGACCUGCGGUGCAUUAGCUAGUUGGUAGGGUAACGGCCUACCAAGGCGAUGAUGCAUAGCCGAGUUGAGAGACUGAUCGGCCACAUUGGGACUGAGACACUGCCCAAACUCCUACGGGAGGCAGCAGGC
RNAcentral lists this ribosomal RNA (235 nucleotides) under uncultured Lactobacillus sp. Its description in RNAcentral is "partial 16S ribosomal RNA". It matches the Rfam family "Bacterial small subunit ribosomal RNA", at positions 127 to 354 of the family's 1533-position model. The record is from RNAcentral. Lineage: Bacteria; Bacillati; Bacillota; Bacilli; Lactobacillales; Lactobacillaceae.